GAGGUACUCCCUCCGUCCGAAAAUACUUGUCAUCAAAAUGACAAAAAUGAUGUAUCUAAAACUAAAAUACAUCUAGAUACAUCCAUUUUUAUUCAUUUUGAUGACAAGUAUUUCCGGACGGAGGGAGUACAAU
Non-coding RNA from Triticum aestivum (bread wheat), 133 nucleotides. Lineage: Eukaryota; Viridiplantae; Streptophyta; Magnoliopsida; Poales; Poaceae. The record is from Rfam.